Molecule: ribosomal RNA, 301 nt
Filed under: uncultured bacterium
Lineage: Bacteria
Description: partial 16S ribosomal RNA
Rfam family: Bacterial small subunit ribosomal RNA
Source: RNAcentral
CAGUAGCCGCGGUAAUACGUAGGUGGCAAGCGUUGUCCGGAAUUAUUGGGCGUAAAGGGCUCGCAGGCGGUUUCUUAAGUCUGAUGUGAAAGCCACCGGCUCAACCGGGGAGGGUCAUUGGAAACUGGGAAACUUGAGUGCAGAAGAGGAGAGUGGAAUUCCACGUGUAGCGGUGAAAUGCGUAGAGAUGUGGAGGAACACCAGUGGCGAAGGCGACUCUCUGGUCUGUAACUGACGCUGAGGAGCGAAAGCGUGGGGAGCGAACAGGAUUAGAUACCCCAGUAGUCCCUGUCUCUUAUAC